AUGCUGAGCACGAUAGGCGCGCCACAGAGAUGCGUGAACCCAUGAUCCGUGAUGGCGGCGUACACAUCCUUGGCGUCGACGCGGUGGAGACAGAUGUUGGUACCGCCGCCGACGGCCAUUCCCCAAGGGAAGCGCCACCCAUUGGCGUGGAACAUGGGCAGUGUCCACAUGAACACCAGGCGCGGCGGCACUGCCCAGUCCACCAGCGACACCAUGGUCACCAAAAAGAUCCCAAGAUGGCAGUGCAUGACCCCCUUGUAGGCGAAAAGAAUCCCCUGCCGUACGGCACCCAGUCGUUCCCUCACCGACAUGUGGGCCCGCCAGAAACCUGGCCCACAUGUCAGUGGGCCAACAGCAGAGGCCGUACGUCAGAGGAGCCGUUCCCCUUGUAGGGUGGCUCUCAUUUUCUUAGAAAUGCUAGAAGCACAUGGUUAG
This 435-nucleotide ribosomal RNA is filed under the name Triticum aestivum (bread wheat). RNAcentral describes it as "partial small subunit ribosomal RNA". Lineage: Eukaryota; Viridiplantae; Streptophyta; Magnoliopsida; Poales; Poaceae. The record is from RNAcentral.